RNAcentral lists this long non-coding RNA (13035 nucleotides) under Ananas comosus (pineapple). RNAcentral's name for it is "long non-coding RNA (ACOM_LNC006562)". The record is from RNAcentral. Lineage: Eukaryota; Viridiplantae; Streptophyta; Magnoliopsida; Poales; Bromeliaceae.
UUAAUUCACAGGAAGAAACUUGCCCGAAGGUUGCUAUUUGAUAAAAGUGCUAAUGAUGACCAUGAGCGUAGUAUUUUGACAAAGCUAAAGCAGCAGUGCGGAGGGCAAUUUACCUCAAAAAUGGAGGGCAUGGUAUGCUUACAAAUUUUAUUAUUUUCUUCCUAUUUGAAGGUUUUUUACAGUUUCCUUUCUUCUCAGGUAACUGAUUUAACUCUUGCAAGAGAAAACCAAUCAAGCUUCGAAGAAUAUCUAAAUAGCAAUCCUCUGGCAAAUCCUGGAAUUGACCUUACAGUGACUGUUUUAACGACUGGGUUUUGGCCUAGUUAUAAAUCCUUUGAUCUUAAUCUCCCUGCUGAGAUGGUACAGACUUGGUCCUUGUUACUUCUUUUAGUUUCUAGUUAUGGAAUUGAAGCGUGCUUUAAUUAGGCUUUGCUAUUUUUCAUUUACAUGUUAUAUAUAGGUUAAAUGUGUCGAAGUUUUUAAGGAGUUCUAUCAGACAAAAACCAAGCAUCGGAAGCUUACAUGGAUAUAUUCAUUGGGUACCUGUAAUAUCAAUGGCAAGUUUGAACCUAAAACAAUAGAGCUGAUUGUAACAACCUAUCAGGUUUUCAUCAGAAUUUUUUCCUCUUAAAUUAUUUAAAAUUGGUUGUUCCUACAUUCUUGAAUCAUAAUUAUUUUUUCCCGUCCUACAGGCUGCUGCUCUGCUACUUUUUAAUGCUUCCGACCGAUUAAGUUACUCAGAGAUCAUGUCACAGUUGAAUUUGUCAGAUGAUGACGUCAUCAGAUUGCUCCACUCUCUUUCAUGUGCAAAAUACAAGAUCCUCAACAAAGAGCCUAAUACAAAAAAUAUAUCUCCCACUGAUUAUUUCGAGUUCAAUUCCAAGUUCACAGAUAAAAUGAGGAGGAUCAAGGUAAAGUUUUGCUGUUAACGCUGUGUUCUUGCACCUGUUCUCCUUGAUUGAGUUUUUGAGGUUAUGGCUAUACGCAUACUGCAGAUUCCUCUUCCUCCCGUGGAUGAGAAAAAGAAAGUUAUUGAAGAUGUUGACAAAGACAGAAGAUAUGCAAUUGAUGCUUCAAUAGUGCGCAUAAUGAAGAGUAGAAAGGUUUUAGGUCAUCAGCAACUUGUGAUGGAAUGCGUUGAGCAGCUCAGCCGCAUGUUUAAGGUACCAAGCUCCUCAUUACAAUUGUUUAUUUCUCUUUUGAAGCCAAGAGAUAGUGCAAAUGUGUUUAGACAAUCAUCUCUUUAAAUCGUUAUCACUUUCUUUGACGUGAUUUGAUUAGUCGAUCAAGUUAUAAGUAUCAAAAAACACUUUGUGACGAUAUGGAGGAUGCCAAAUAUGGUACCUAUUAGUAAUCUAGUUGCUAGGUUUAGUCACUGAGAAAAUUGUCCUACGAAUAAUAAAUUGCUGUUUUCUUUGUGCAGCCUGACUUCAAGGCAAUAAAGAAGAGGAUCGAAGACUUGAUCUCUAGAGACUAUUUAGAGAGGGACAAGGACAAUCCGAACACGUUCAGAUACUUAGCCUGAUUAAUAUUUGGAGAAUGUUCUUUAAUCAUCUCUCUACAAAGCCGCCAACAAUAACGCAGAAGCACCCGUUCUGGUGGUAAACUCAUCACUUAAAAUUUCUCGUGCUGCUUGAGAGAUUGAUAUACUUUACAUCGACCCAUGAGCCUUGUUGUACAUUUCCCUCAAACCGAUGUAUGUUUUAUUGCCUAUAAGAAUGUAUGGGUGAAAGCUUCUACAGUCGGAAAUGCUCAGAAUCACUUUUCUUACUGUUGUAAAUCGUCAUUACACUGGCAUACUUCAUUGUUUUUUCUUAACUAGCGUCUUCUACAUCUAUUAAGUCUUCUCUGCUGUAUUUUGUCUAGGUUGGAAAUCUGCUUGUUGCUCUAUAUUUUACUCGACUAGUUACGUAAGUAACUCUUCUCGCACAAUUAUUAUCAAUGUUAUUAUAUAUGCGACUGCAUUUAAUUCCAUUUCUGCUGUUGCUUGGAAUAACUUUCAAUUAUGUACAGCGUUUUACCACCAGAUGGUAUUAUUAUUCUCCUCUAUUAGUGGCUUCUGUUUAGUUUCUUUUGCAGGUUUGAGUUACACCUUGCCCAGUUAAUUGGGCUGAUCCUGGAUUCAAAAUUACAGGUUCAUGAUAAAAUUCUGACUCAAACCCAGUUUUUUUUUUUUUUUUUUUUUUUUUUUUCUCUGGUUGAAGCUUCUAUGUCCGAGGUUUUCAUUUGAUCUGAUCCAACUUGGCCGUCAGUAGCUGUAGGAAUUUGCUUGCCCUGAUGUUUGCGGCGAUUCAUCAAAGAAAGCUUCCACAUUAUCUCCAUUGAGCAAGUCUCUGUGACUCUUCUUCUCUUCUUUUGUUUAUUUUUUCUUAUCUGGGACUGUCACAUAGGAUUAGUUACAGUAAAGAUUCUCUGCACCCUUGAAACAAGAAGUUGCUUAAGUAGGUGCUGCUGGUGCAGAAAACAAACAGUGUUUUGCACCACACUUGUUAGCAGAUUCUUACGCCCACCGCACUCCGGGCUACAAGACAAGCUCCAUGAUUGAUGUGGCCCUGCUUCUCUUCCAAUCGCCAUUAUUCGUUCAUCUGAGUUUCUAUAUUAUUUAGGCCAUUUGCUACCCAUUACCUACUAUAUGGUGCCACUGCCAAUAAUUGUGGGUAUCUUUCGCUGCAAACUACAGGAAAAGUGUCUUUAGAUCCUGUUUACCUGCUCUUCUGCUUUUGUUAUGAACUCUAGUGACCUCUAGUUAUUUGUGAGCGUAAAGAAAAAAAAAAAAAAGAAAAAAGCUGGGAGCUUCUACUGCUGUGAGAAUCUUAAAUGAAUUGUGGACAAGCUAUUGUAGAAAUUUUAGUGAAAGUGCUUUUAGAAGCAAUAUAAAUACUACUGCUUCGACCAGCUCUGUCCGGUGCAGUAGGGCCAAACAGGCCCCAUGGAUUGUCCGUCGGGGAUUUCCGAGAAAAUACUGCUCGAGUAUUAGAUGUUUGAAAGGAUACUGAUUGCUCUUUUAUUAAAAGCGCUUUAAUAGCGUCUCUCUCUCUCUGUAGUCCGCGAGUCGUAUUUUGUUUGUUUUUAACAUCUAAAAGCUUAGCUUUUAUUUUUUGUUGCGGGAAAAGCUUGCUCUGGGCAUUUUGUUUAUCGAGUGCGUGUAGCUUUUUGAAUCACGUAGGGGCGUUUCAAGAGCCAUGCCAAACAGGCCCUUAGAUGAGCUUGAUACCAUCCACUACAGCUUUUUUAUGUUAAAAAAAAAAAAAAUUGAACCCAAUUGCUAACAGAGAAUCACUUAAAUGUCCAGUUACCACCAUUAUAUCUAUUCAAUCUCCACACACUAUAUAAAUACGUCACACGUGCCCCACCCCACCACAGUAUACACGCACAUAAUUAAGAUUUUAGCAGGUGUAUGGUAUAUACUUUGUACAUUGGCUACUUCAAAGACCGCUAAUUUAUGAAAUUAUUAUAGCAAAACAUAAACAAUUGGAUCGUUAUUAUUAGUUAACCUGAAUCUUAGCAAACUCCAGAGUCUUCUUCCCCUGCAGAGCUUGUUGGGGACGUAGUGGCGGCUGUAGUCGCCGUGGUUGUACCUCUUGUACAUGCAGCGCUGGUCCCGGUGCACCAGCUCAGCGCGGGGGCCCACCUCCACGUCAUAGCUGGGCGGCGCAUAGAACGUGACCACGGAGAGCCUGUCCCUCUCUUCGUUGGUCACCGCCCUGUGCUCCACGCUCUUGUGCUUCCCAUUCGUCACCACCUGUUUUGUUUUGUUUUGUUAUUGUUUCGCUUUAUUCAGUAACAAAAUCAUGGGGGAUUUCCAUCUAAUUUUGAUUUUUGGUGUUAUUUACGCAAUGUUUGAUCUGGGCCAGUAAUAAUUAGUGAAUAUAAUAAUAGUUUGGUUUGACCAUUUCUGUAGCGAUCACAGUAAAAAAGAACAUUUAGUUUUAUCAUGUUUGACCACAGCAAGAGGUGUUCUGCUCAAAAAAUUCAUUUUAUUCUCCAACAAAACACUGCUUUAUAAGUAAAAAAUGGCUAAAGUUGAUUAUUUGCUAGAAUAUAUGUAUAUAUAUACGUACCUCAAUGGUGUCUCCAAUGUUGAUCACAAGUGCGUUGGGGAUAGGGUUUACCGGCACCCAGGCGCCGUCCUUGAGGAUCUACAGGCCGGCGCAGGUGGCGUCCUGCUGCAGCACGGUGAGUGCGCUGCCAUCCGAAUGCGAGCUCAGCCCCAGCACGAGGUCGGGCCGCGAGCACGGCGGGUAGUAGUUCAUCGUGCACUGCCUCCCCGAACAUGUCCCCGAAUGUGUUCGGCGCCAGUCCCAGCGUCUCCGCAAUCACGAUCAGCAGCCUCUCGCACAGGUUUCUUAUUCUCGCGGUGUACAUCUCUAGCGUCUCACUGCAGUGAAGAUGAGUUGAAAACGUUAUGGAUUGAGAUUCUUGUGAUUUUCGUUUAUCAUAAACGUUUGUUUCAACAUGUUUACGUGUUGCUGGUGUGGUAAUGAUAAAGUUAUUAUUUAUACGAAGAGAGCACCUAAAGUGAGUAGGGUUUGUAGGCCAGAGGCUAGAGUUUCUGAUGAAGGGAGGCGCCACCCCGAGAGCGAGCAUGUUGCACCAGUCGAGUUUCUGGUCCUCCGAGAAGAUGAAGGCGUGGCCGUAGCCCUGAAUCGUGCCCGGUGCCAUUGGAUACUUCUCCUUUUCUUCCAAAGGAAGCAUGAAGAACUCCCGCGCCACCUUCUCCAUGCCAUCCAUCAGCCACUUCUCCACACCAUGGUUCACGACAUAUAUAUAUAUAUAUAUAUAUAUAUAUAUAUAGAGUGAGGCUACUAUGCUAUCGGAAGCACGGAGCCUUCCGUGCUUCCAGCUCGUUUUCGAUGUUGCGACUUUCGAAUCGUCGAUCGGCUCCGUUAAACUUGAUCUAGAGUAUUUGGAGUACCUAGAAAAUAAAUUUUAUUAUUUUUCGAUAUCAUUUGCCUAGUGAUCGAAUGGGCUCAAAAUCAACAAAUUUCAAUGGCCGUAGUGAGCCGUUUGCAAGUUUAACGGUGUAGAAAUAUCAAAAUCACGUGAAAUUUUGAUAGAAAAUUCUUUAUACUAUAUAAAACAAGAUCAAUAUCUUUGAUUUAAAAUUUUAAUGUCAUAUUAUUACAUUUUGUAAGAUUUUUAUUUUCAGCCGUUGAUUUUGAACCCCUUCGUUCACUAGGCAAAUGAUAUCGUAAAAUCAUAAAAUUUAUUUUCUAGAUACUUCAAAUACUCUAGAUCAAGUUUAACGAAACCGAUCGACGAUUCGAAAGUCGUAACAUCGAAAACGAGCUGGAAGCACGGAAGGCUCCGUGCUUCCGAUAGUAUAGUAACCUCACUCUAUCUAUAUAUAUAUAUAUAUAUAUAUAUAUAUUCAUGUACGAAACAAAGUUCACUAUAUUACAGAGUUCUAUGCUUGCUCACAUUCUAAUAGUUUACUUUUUGUGUCGUACUAAAACAUUCAUAAUUUAUAUUAAACUAAAACAGAUAAAAGAUUGAAACUGCUUACAAAUUUUGUUUCAAAAUAAUAUCUUGCAAACUGUUAAUUAAACUUUAACAAAGCAAAAGUAUAUAGUACAGUUAUAACAGGUGAAUAUCUCCUGUGAUAUUAAUUGCACGACAGAGUUUUACCUGUCAUAAUAAUUCAAUAAGCCAAUUAAUAUAAAUAUAGAGAGAAAGAGAGUUUGGCUAAAAUACUAUUAAUAAUAUUUUAAUUUUUUUGCUAUUUAAUUUUUAACCCUUUCAUGAAAAAUUGUAGGGUUUGAAUGAUGGCGAUUUUUUAAGAUUGAGUGGUGGUCUUUUAGAGUUUAAUAAUUAUUAGUGAAAUAAUAUUAAUUUAAUAGUAAAAAUAAUCAAAAUAAUAGAUUUAAUAGUUAAAAACUAAAUAGCAAACUGACACAAAUACUAUAUGUAUACGGUGUAGAGCUACUAUGUUAUUGGAAGCAUAAAUGAUCUGAUGCUUCCAACUUUUUAACCAUUGGAUCAAAAAAUUAUACGAUUAGAAUGAUUGCGAUCCCUCCAGGUUUGAGUAGUACCCCUAAGGUUGAGUGGUCCCUACAGGUUAAUAGUAUUAAUUCAAAGAUUAGAAAUGAUUAAAGGGAUUGAUCUAAGGGCCAAAAAAUCGGAAGCACCAAAUCCUCUAUACUUCCGAUAACAUAGUAGCUCUACUCUAUAUAUACUAUCGGAAUAUUGUGCUUUCAACUUUUUGGCCCUUAGAUUAAUUUUUUUGAUUAUUUUUAAUUUUUGGAUUAAUACUAUUAUCAUGUGGGGACCACUCAACUCUAACCUCUAGGGUCCUACUCAAUCAUAUAAGACCGUAAUCAUCCCAACCGUACAAUUCUUAAUCUAAGGAUCAAAAAAUUAGAAACGUCAACUCCUCUAUACUUCCGAUAAUAUAUUAACUCUAUAUGUACCUGAAAGAAGCCCCACUCCUCGCAGGCGGCGGCGAGCUUCUUCAGCUCAUCGGCGCCGUGCCAUUUGGAUCCCAGCUUCGACAUGUCGAUGACGGGGACGUCUCCGGGCCCCGCCACCGCUGCUGCAGCAGCAGGGCGCUCCUCGGGGGCGCGGAUGUACCUCUUGGGCACGAACGCGGGACUUAUCCUGUCUAAAGGGAACGUUACAAAUGUGUUGUUGCAAAAGUUAGAAAAAUUUGAAAAUAAAGGAUAAAUUUUUAUCAAGUAUACUCCAAAAAAAAAGAACAUUUUCUUUUGCAAAAGCUUAUUGCAACUUUUCAAAAUUUAUUGCAAUCUUUUCCUUUUGAACAAAUUCUCUAACAUAUUGGGUGGACAAAUUUUGGUAAUUAGAUGACUCUUAGCCAAAUUAAUUAUAUGGAUGUAUUUAUAUAAUUGGAUAAAGGCGUAUGUUAGAGAAUCAAUUUAACUAAGCAAAAGAUAGGUAUAAUUUAACUACAGAUAUAUUUCCGGGCACUUAUUUACCUACAGAUAUAUUUUAUUUUACCCCUCCCAAUUUUUAGAAACCUACAAUUAGCCUUUUUCAUUUUUUAUAUGAUUGGAUAUUUUGUCCCUCUUUUGUUGCUAUUCGUUGUAACGCUCUGUGUUACUGUCAUUUUGAAGGAGAAAAUAAUAACGGCAUAUAAAAAUAUGGAUGUCGAGAGGGCUAAUUAUAAAUUCUUGGAUGGAAGUGUAAUUACCAAACUAACAGAGGCUUUUUUGCAUUUUCCUGCACAGUUCUAACUCGUUGUUUCUUUUUCUUACCAUUUCUAAUUUAAAUUCAUCCCUAAUUCCACGCUCUUUCUUGGUAAUAAAAUAAAAUAAAAAAUAAACCGUAACCUCCCCAAAUUACAAUCGUUCGUCUACAAACCCCGCAGGAGGUGAGGAGAAGAAGACAAGUAAAUGGAGCGGUUAGCGAUUAGGAGCGGAUCGGAGGAAAAGGCGGACCCAAGAUCCGACGGGCUAUGGAUAACGCGGAUAAGGGUGAUCCAUUAACCGCUUGCCUGUUACAGCAGUUGGUGAACUGGGCCGGCCCAAACUCAGGCGAUUGAAUGGAAUUAGCGAUCCAUGAUACAAAGAGUGAUCUCUUUACAAUUCAACCCUCCAAUUUUGUAACAUUUAUAAUUGAAUUCUCGUACUGACACUAUAAAUAGGAAUGGCAUGAAAAGAAUUUGAAUAAACUCCCUUCCUCCUCAAUGCUCUUCUUCCUCUGUGUCUCUCUCUCUUUCUCUCUACUCUUCUACUCUCUUCUCUGUUCUAUCUCUUUUCCUCUCACUCCUCUAAUCCAGAUCUAGAUCUCAUCCCCGACCACUGGUGCUCGAUCUCCAUGGAUGCUUGAUUCAGAUUGAGAUCUGAAUCCAACCCUCUGAGGAGCUCUUUUCCUCGCCUCCUCCCCCGAUUAUUUCCUAAUUCAGGUGCGUAUCCCCAAUUCCUAACUCCUUUUUCGCGCUUGAUCUGAUUACUUGCCUUGGUUGCUCAAAUUCGACGUUCAGAUUGGUUGUUUUAGGGCUCAAUUUGGGCAUUUUUUUUUUCUCUUUUUUGUUGGAUCGAGUAGUCGGGAUUACGGUUCGAGCUCUUUGGUGUUUGUAGGGUAGAAAUUAGGGUUUAUUUCGAUCUUCGGGACGUUGGAGAUCGGGAGCAUGUCGAUGGACGACGAGAGGAAGACGAUCCGUUUGGAGCAGGGAUGGGAGCUCAUUCAGAAGGGGAUCACCAAGCUGAAGAACAGCCUGGAGGGUCUCUCCGAGGAGAAGUUUCGCGCCAAAGACUACAUGAUGCUCUACACGUAUGCUCACUAUCUCCUCCUCCUUGUCUAUUAGGGUUUGCUAAAAUUGUACCUUGAGCUCAUGUUUCUUUGAUUUGUUUUAACUAUGGAUCAGGACUAUCUACGAUAUGUGCACUCAGAAGCCCCCUCAUCGUUACUCGCAACAGCUAUACAACAAGUAUCGGGAGUCGGUUGAGGAGUACAUCACUUCGACAGUGAGGAUGCCUUGCAAACUUUUUUUGUCUACUUUUUUCAACUAUUUUGUUGCACGAAGUGUAGUUGCUCUCUCUUCUUCUUCUUCUUCUUUUUUGUCUGCAUUGUUAUUAAUGUUAUUGUUAGCUAAAUGAGAAGUUAACCUUCUAUAUAUUCACCCUUAUUGGGGUUUAUACUAUUUAUUUGCAAUAGUUCAAACAUUGUCGACAGCCAUUAAUGAGAAUCAGUGAGUAUUGGAAGUUUAGUGGUUCUGUUAUUACUGGUGCUAGUGUGGUCAGCUGAUUCAUGAAGAAUUAGAAGGUUAUCUUUUUCAUUUUUAAGUGUCCUUCUUCUUUUGAAGAUUUUCAUUAGGAAAUUUAGGCUGAUAGCUGUCAUUUAUUGUUUUUGAAGACCUGUAUGAAUUGAGAUACGUAUUGCUUUUCACAUACAUUAUACGUGUAGCCCUGUUCUAUUUUGCUUCUUCUUUCAGUAGUUGACUCUCUCUCUCUCUCUCCUUUUAGAUGUAUCGAUGAUUGUAUUGUAAGCAGCUUGGUUAUUUUCAUUCAGGUGUUGUCAUCUUUGAGGGAGAAAGACGGUGAGUUUAUGCUGAGGGAACUAGUCAAUAGAUGGUCAAAUCACAAAGAAAUGGUCAGAUUGCUCUCACUUUGUUUCCGCCACCUUGAUGACAACUUUGUUACUCAAAAGUCACUCCCUCCGAUUAGUGAAGUUGGGCUUACUUGCUUCCGCAAUCUGGUACGUGAGCUCCUAACUGUAAAAUAUCAUAUAUUUGUUUUGAAAGUUCAUAUCUCCUCGAAGAUUUAGAAGUGGAUUUUGUGUAUGCACAUAAUUGGAGGUUGUUGUCAUUCUUGAGUUCUCGAAUAUUCUGGUUUUUCCUGAAUCGUUGCUGAUUUGUUUUCUGAUAUUCAGGUUUAUCAGGAGAUUUAUUUUAAAGCAAGAGAUGCUGUGAUCUCAUUGGUAAGUCAAAAGUAAAAGAUUUAUGAUGUGCUAUACUUCAGCUUCAUGGAUAUUUUUCUAAUUCAGCAUAAACUAUGCCAAUCAGAUUAAUCAAGAACGUGAGGGCGAGCAGAUUGAUAGAGCUUUGCUCAAGAAUGUAUUAGAUAUUUUUGUUGAAAUUGGGUUGGGUAAGAUGGACUAUUAUGACUUCGAAGCAUACAUGCUUAAACGCACUGCAGCUUAUUAUUCUCGGAAAGCAAAAAGCUGGAUUUCAGAGGACUCCUGUACAGGUUAUAUGCUGAAGGUACUCCUCUUCUAAAAUUUGUUUGGAUGAAAUGCAUUAUUAAGCUAUCCUUAGUUUGGUAAUAAUGACCUUUUUUACUUGUUUCAGGCUGAGGAGUGUUUGAAACAGGAGAAAGACAGAGUUUCGCAUUACUUGCAUUCAAGUAGUGAACCAAAGCUUUUGGAGGUUUGUUCUUGUUUAAUAGUCCUUUGCAACCCUCUCUCUGUAAGUCAUGUUUACUAGAACUUGACUGAACAAUCACCUGAGUACUGGCCUGCUUGUUAGGUCAAUGGUCAAAUCUAUUAGUUAAGCGAUUAACUAGUUGAUUUAAUGAAAGAUAAGAUCAUAACAUUGGUACUGAGCAGAUUCGGUAUAAAGAUGAGCAUUCUCCACUUGUUUCCAUUCUUGGCAGUUGGCACUCGGNGAGAGAGAGAGAGAGAGAGAGAGAGAGAGAGAGAGAGAGAGAGCUACUAUACUCUUAUGAGUACGAUGGACCUGCUCAUAAGUCAUUUUCGAUGAUGAAGUUUCCGAAUCGAUGAUCCAUACUAUUAAACAUGAUUUAGAGUAUUUGAAACUUUUAGAAAUUAAAUUUCAUAAUUUUUCAACAUCAUUUACCUUACGAUCAAAAGAUAUAAAAAUUGACAAUUUUUAACGGCCGGUAUAGUUGAAUUUUUGAUAGAAAAUUUUAUUCACUAUCUAGAUAGAGAUCUAUAAUUUUGAUCAUAAAUUGAAAAAUCCGAUCAUCUAUUUUUAGAAGGUAAUUCAAUUUUGAUUAUUUAUUUUAUGUCCAUUUGAUAGACUAUUAUAAUUUUAAAAAACUAUGAAAUUAGUUUUCUAGAAGUUUCAAAUGUUCUAAAUUAUAUUUAACGGCAUGGAUCGUCAAUUCGGAAGCUCUAUCAUCGAAAACAACUUAUGAGUAUAAAGAGCUCUAUACUCAUAAGAGUAUAGUAGCCCUACUCUCUCCCUCUCUCUCUCUCUCUAUAUAUAUUUCCUUACACUCAUUUUGAUUAAUUAACAGGAAGAAACUUCUUGAGAUAGAGCAUUCCGGAUGUCAUGCGUUGCUCCAGGAUGACAAGGUUCGUAGAUAUUUCUUCCAAAAUGAGUGUAGAUUCUGUUUCAUUAGCCCAAUUGUCUAAAAACUUAAAAUUGUCUUGUACUUGUUAGGUGGAUGAUUUGUCGAGGAUGUACAGACUCUUUUCUAAAAUAAAUCGUGGUCUGGACCCAAUUGCUCAGAUAGUUAAGCAGGUUGCUCAGAUUUUUAAGCAGGUUAGUAUAAGUGCAAAUUUGUUAAAAUAGUCUAAUGUUUUUCUUUACAGUUUACUGAGAUUUAUCAAAAACUUUUGUCCUGCAGCAUGUUACCGCGGAAGGUACAGCUUUGGUCAAACAAGCAGAAGAUGCCGCAAAUAAUAAGAAGGUCAGUAGUCUACAAAUACUUUUUCAACCGAACAGCUUAUUUUCUUUAAAAUAUUUUAUUUUCAUUCUUCGAAGAAUUUCUUGCAAAUCUUUUGUUAUGAAAACUGCCAUUGCAAUCUAGUGUUUGUAUGAAGUCUUGUUCAGUUGCUUACGUAUUCUUGCUAACUCUAUUUUGUAUAGUGCCCUAAAACUUUGAUGAAUUGCAAUUCUCUAUGUUCUUCCAUUUAGCUAGAGUUGUUUCAAAAUUAGCUCAUAUGCUGGCCUAAUCACGGGACUUGCCUGGCUAGUCUGUGCUCUUAACGCUCAAUAGCAUGUUGAUAAUUCAUCAAGCAAGUUGUUUAUCAAACUCAAGCUACUGAUUUCAAGUUGCUUCUGGCAUGUAUUCUUGAUUACUGUUUGUAUAUUUGUUUCCUAGCAUUUAUUACUUUUACCAACUUGCAGUGUAUAUACAUUUUUAUAUUUCUGUUCUUUCUCGUGAUAUGGGCUAACAUAUGUUUCCUACAGGCUGAGAAAAAAGAUUUAGUUGGUUUACAAGAACAGGUUAGAUUUCUUAUUUGCAGCUCAUACAAGUACUAUGGUUACUUUAAAAUGCAAGUUUAUUGACGGAACUAUCUGGUUGUAGGUUUUUGUUAGAAAAAUCAUUGAGCUUCAUGACAAGUAUUUGGCAUAUGUAAAUAACUGCUUCCAGAACCACUCGCUCUUUCAUAAGGUGCGUAUAGAAAUUUUUCCUCUUAUAUAAGGGUAUGUUUUCGUCUUUCUUCCCUAAAUAUGCUUGUUCUCAUCAGGCAGUAAAGGAGGCUUUUGAGGUCUUCUGCAACAAGGGAGUUGCAGGUAGUGCAAGUGCUGAACUUCUAGCUACCUUCUGUGACAAUAUACUUAAAAAAGGUGGAAGCGAGAAAUUGAGUGAUGAAGCUAUCGAGGAGACCCUUGAGAAAGUAAUUGACUUUUCAACUGCCUUUUGAUUUUUCUAAUAAUUUGACCUUGAAAUAUAUCAUGUGAACAAUCUCUCGCAGGUUGUGAAGCUGCUUUCAUAUAUUAGCGAUAAGGAUCUUUUUGCUGAGUUUUACAGGUAGAAGUCUUAUGCCGUCACCCUUUGAAUUAGUAAUUUGUUUUUACUUUAAUCUGGCUUAUAUAUAUAUAUAUAUAUAUAUAUAGAGAGAGAGAGAGAGAGAGAGAGAGAGAGAGAGAGUUCGGCUACUAUUCCUUUUUGAGUACGAUGGACCUGCCCAUAAGUCAUUUUCGAUGAUGGAGUUUCAAAUCGAUGAUCCAUACUAUUAAACAUGAUUUAGAGUAUUUGAAACUUUUAGAAAUUAAAUUUCAUAAUUUUUCGACAUCAUUUACCUUACGAUCAAAAGAUAUAAAAAUUGACAAUUUUUAAUGGCUGGUAUGGGAUGCUCGCAAUUUUAACGGUGUAAAAGAAUCAAAAUCAGUCGAAUUUUUGAUAGAAAAUUUUAUUCACUAUUUAUAUAGAGAUCUAUAAUUUCGAUCAUAAAUUGAAAAAUCCGAUCAUCUAUUUUUAGGAGGUAAUUCCAUUUUGACCGUUUAUUUUAUGUCCAUUUGAUAGACUUUAUUAUAAUUUUUAAAAACUAUGAAAUUAGUUUUCUAGAAGUUUCAAAUGUUCUAGAUUAUAUUUAACGGAAUGGAUCGUCAAUUCGGAAGCUCUAUCAUCGAAAACAAUUUAUGAGUACAAAGAGUAGCCGUACUCUCUCUCUCUUUCUAUAUAUGUAUAUUUCCUUACACUCAUUUUGAUUAAUUCACAGGAAGAAACUUGCCCGAAGGUUGCUAUUUGAUAAAAGUCCUAAUGAUGACCAUGAGCGUAGUAUUUUGACAAAGCUAAAGCAGCAGUGCGGAGGGCAAUUUACCUCAAAAAUGGAGGGCAUGGUAUGCUUACAAAUUUUAUUAUUUUCUUUCUAUUAGAAGGUUUUUUACAGUUUCCUUCCUUCUCAGGUAACUGAUUUAACUCUUGCAAGAGAAAACCAAUCAAG